AGUGAAUUUCGUUAAAUAUUCAACUGUAAUUUUUCAGAAGUUAAAAAAACGUAUUUCAAUACUGAUCAACAAAUAAGUCACCCCUUCUAUCCUUAAAUAAUUCGAAAUAAAGAUUUUGUUAUCGAAUUUCUGAGACGGGGUUACUCUGUUGUGUGUGUAUUGUUCGGCCAUCGGGGAAAGAAUUGUCUGGGGAUAAUAAACAUCCCCCACCAGAAUCCUAACCGGCCUACUAUUCUGAUUUGUCUAGUGUGUUGCUGUUUUCCGUCAACAAUAGUACUUUUACCAUAAAAAAUGUAUUUCUUCUCUUUAGAGGAGUCUGGUUAUUGGAGUAUUACCCUAGACCCCAGAUUUUCAUUUGAGACCCCGAGCUUUUUAUUGGAGAAUGAAAACCACCAACCUUUUAGUCGGAGAUCCCAAUCUUUUCACUUCAAUUUUCAUUGGAGACCCUAGACUUUUCUUUUAAACCACAAAAUUUCAGUGGAGACUCACCCUCAGAUUUUCAUUGGUGUCCCAAAAAUUUGUUGGCCUCCAAUAAAUACUUGAGGUCUUCGAAAAUUUUUUUUGGGGUCUCCGAUGAAAAUCUUGGGAUCUCUCAGAAGUCAAUCAUGAGGGUCUCUAAUAGUACUCCAAUGAUCAUGAUUUCUUUCUCCAGACUUGAUUGGGAGUGAAAUAUGCUGUGAAAGCUUCACGUCUUGGUAUCAAAGCAUCAAAACUAAUAUGAAGGUUUGACAGAAAGUGCAACGAACAGGAAAUAAACUUGUGGCCUGUACAAACUGUCUAUCAAUAUUCUAUACUCUAUCCUUUCUCCGACCAUCAACCAUGUCCAACUCAUCCAUCCAAUCUUACGUCUCCUACCGCCUAAGCCGGUUUUCUUUAACAGAAAUGAUAGAGGAGAUAGAACCUCUGUUCCUUUACUCCGACCAAGGAAUUGACGACAUCAAGAGAAUGGUUCUUCUUACUUCAGACACUGAUGAGAUGGAGUGGGUCCCGGACUGUGCAUUAUUAGAGACCUACCCGACUUGGAAUUGACAAAUAUCAGUGUCACUUCCUGGUUUCCAAGACUGCCGACACUCAACUAGAAUACUGUCUUCAGCUAGAACUUCUCUAAAAACCUUUCUAAGCUAGAACUUCCCAACUGCCAACUGUAACUUCCCAACUGCUAACUGGAACUUCCCAACUGCCAACUGUAACUUCCCAACUGCCAACUGGCACUUCCCAACUGCCAACUGGAACUGCCCAACUGCCAACUGGUACUUCCCAACUGCCAACUGGUACUUCCCAACUGCCAACUGGUACUUCUCAACUGCCAACUGGAACUGUCCAACUGCCAACUGGAACUGCCCAACUGCCAACUGGUACUUCCCAACUGCCAACUGGAACUUCCCAACUGCCAACUGGUACUUCCCAACUGCCAACUGGAACUUCCCAACUGCCAACUGGUACUUGCCAACUGCCAACUGGUACUUGCCAACUGCCAACUGGUACUUGCCAACUGCCAACUGGUACUUGCCAACUGCCAACUGGUACUUCCCAACUGCCAACUGGAACAUCUUAAUAGCUUGAGUAAUAGAACGUAUAUGUAAAAUCUAAAUAUGUAUGUUUAAUAAAUAUAGAACUUAAUAGA
This 1624-nucleotide long non-coding RNA is filed under the name Eurytemora carolleeae. RNAcentral's name for it is "uncharacterized LOC111697092". The record is from RNAcentral. Lineage: Eukaryota; Metazoa; Arthropoda; Copepoda; Calanoida; Temoridae.